GUCCAGACUCCUACGGGAGGCAGCAUGGGGGAAUAUUGCACAAUGGGCGAAAGCCUGAUGCAGCAACGCCGCGUGAGGGAUGAAGGCCUUCGGGUUGUAAACCUCUUUCGGCAGGGACGAAGCGAUCAGUGACGGUACCUGCAGAAGAAGCCCCGGCUAACUACG
RNAcentral lists this ribosomal RNA (165 nucleotides) under uncultured soil bacterium. RNAcentral describes it as "partial 16S ribosomal RNA". It matches the Rfam family "Bacterial small subunit ribosomal RNA", at positions 329 to 505 of the family's 1533-position model. The record is from RNAcentral.